This 266-nucleotide long non-coding RNA is filed under the name Homo sapiens (human). Its description in RNAcentral is "non-protein coding lnc-LPCAT1-4:30". Lineage: Eukaryota; Metazoa; Chordata; Mammalia; Primates; Hominidae. The record is from RNAcentral.
GGAGACCUAAAGCACCUGAAGACGUUCGACCGGGGAAUGGUCUGGAACACGGACCUGGUGGAGACCCUGGAGCUGCAGAACCUGAUGCUGUGUGCGCUGCAGACCAUCUACGGAGCAGAGGCGCGGAAGGAGUCACGGGGCACGCACGCCAGGGAAGGCUACAAGGUCGGCCUUCUCACCACGCCCACCUGCACCUGCCUUUUCCUCCCGCCUGGUGGGACUCAGCCCCACCCCUGCAUUUUCUCUGCAUUUUAUUUCGUUGCCCC